GACGAACGCUGGCGGCGUGCUUAACACAUGCAAGUCGAACGGAAAGGCCCUGCUUUUGUGGGGUGCUCGAGUGGCGAACGGGUGAGUAACACGUGAGUAACCUGCCCUUGACUUUGGGAUAACUUCAGGAAACUGGGGCUAAUACCGUAUAGGAGCUCCUGCUGCAUGGUGGGGGUUGGAAAGUUUCGGCGGUUGGGGAUGGACUCGCGGCUUAUCAGCUUGUUGGUGGGGUAGUGGCUUACCAAGGGUUUGACGGGUAGCCGGCCUGAGAGGGUGACCGGCCACAUUGGGACUGAGAUACGGACCAGAGUCCUACGGGAGGCAGCAGUGGGGAAUAUUGCACAAUGGGCGGAAGCCUGAUGCAGCAACGCCGCGGGCGGGAUGACGGCCUUCGGGUUGUAAACCGCAUUCGCCUGUGACGAAGCGUGAGUGACGGUAAUGGGUAAAGAAGCACCGGCUAACUACGUG
RNAcentral lists this ribosomal RNA (468 nucleotides) under uncultured bacterium. Its description in RNAcentral is "partial 16S ribosomal RNA". It matches the Rfam family "Bacterial small subunit ribosomal RNA", at positions 28 to 507 of the family's 1533-position model. The record is from RNAcentral.